RNAcentral lists this non-coding RNA (257 nucleotides) under Planktothrix sp. PCC 11201. RNAcentral describes it as "Intron_gpI". It matches the Rfam family "Group I catalytic intron". From Rfam's summary of the family: Group I catalytic introns are large self-splicing ribozymes. They catalyse their own excision from mRNA, tRNA and rRNA precursors in a wide range of organisms. The record is from RNAcentral. Lineage: Bacteria; Bacillati; Cyanobacteriota; Cyanophyceae; Oscillatoriales; Microcoleaceae.
GAUUAACCGUUAAAUUCAUAGCGGCUUUUCACGGUAACGUGGAUCGAAAACCCCUCUAAUUCAGGGAAACUCUCAAUUGAGACAAUCCUGAGCCAAGUAGAAAAAUUAACUUUCCCCUGUCAUUUGGAUUGAUGCUUGGGAAGUUAUUGAUUCUAAAGGUGCAACGACUAGCAAUAAAAGCGUAGGUUCAAGUGAACCGAAACGGGGGGCUUCCUAUUAGGAAGAUGAUAUAGUCUAUUCUGAAAGGUAACUUUCAG